GCCGGCCUAGCUCAAUUGGUAGAGCAACUGACUUGUAAUCAGUAGGUUGGGUGUUCAAGUCCUCUGGCCGGCACCA
Molecule: transfer RNA, 76 nt
Filed under: Staphylococcus aureus
Lineage: Bacteria; Bacillati; Bacillota; Bacilli; Caryophanales; Staphylococcaceae
Also listed under: 22 other names
Description: tRNA-Thr(tgt)
Rfam family: tRNA
About the family: Transfer RNA (tRNA) molecules are approximately 80 nucleotides in length. Their secondary structure includes four short double-helical elements and three loops (D, anti-codon, and T loops). Further hydrogen bonds mediate the characteristic L-shaped molecular structure. tRNAs have two regions of fundamental functional importance: the anti-codon, which is responsible for specific mRNA codon recognition, and the 3' end, to which the tRNAs corresponding amino acid is attached (by aminoacyl-tRNA synthetases). tRNAs cope with the degeneracy of the genetic code in two manners: having more than one tRNA (with a specific anti-codon) for a particular amino acid; and 'wobble' base-pairing, i.e. permitting non-standard base-pairing at the 3rd anti-codon position.
Source: RNAcentral